UUGUCAGGUGGGAUAAUACUUACUGGUUCCUCCUUUUGGAGGGCAGGUUAGAACCUGAAGGGGGUUCCAACACCCAUACUGCU
This is a small nucleolar RNA of Ictidomys tridecemlineatus (thirteen-lined ground squirrel), 83 nucleotides long. Its record names the gene U8. It matches the Rfam family "U8 small nucleolar RNA". Rfam says of the family: U8 is a member of the C/D class of snoRNA which contain the C (UGAUGA) and D (CUGA) box motifs. U8 is the RNA component of a small complex (the U8 snoRNP) which is required for accumulation of mature large subunit ribosomal RNAs, 5.8S and 28S rRNAs. NCBI's taxonomy places the organism in Eukaryota, Metazoa, Chordata, Mammalia, Rodentia, Sciuridae. The record is from Ensembl.